CACGUAGGGUGCGAGCGUUGUCCGGAAUUAUUGGGCGUACAGAGCUCGUAGGCGGUGUGUCGCGUCGGCCGUGAAAACCUGCAGCUUAACUGUGGGCUUGCGGUCGAUACGGGCAUCACUGGAGUUCGGCAGGGGAGACUGGAAUUCCUGGUGUAGCGGUGAAAUGCGCAGAUAUCAGGAGGAACACCGGUGGCGAAGGCGGGUCGCUGGGCCGAUACUGACGCUGAGGAGCGAAAGCGUGGGGAGCGAACAGG
RNAcentral lists this ribosomal RNA (254 nucleotides) under uncultured bacterium. Its description in RNAcentral is "partial 16S ribosomal RNA". It matches the Rfam family "Bacterial small subunit ribosomal RNA", at positions 524 to 776 of the family's 1533-position model. The record is from RNAcentral.